AGAGAGAGACAUGCGCGCAUAUCAAUAAGCGGAGGAAAAGAAACUAACAAGGAUUCCCUUAGUAACGGCGAGUGAAGCGGGAAGAGCUCAAGUUUGAAAUCUUCAAGGUUUUACCUUGACGAAUUGUAGUUUAAAGAAGUGUUUUCUGCUGAAGUUUUGGUAAAAGUUCUUUGGAAUAGGACAUCAUAGAGGGUGAGAAUCCCGUAUUUGACCAUUAUUUUCAGCUUUGUGAUACACUUUCAAAGAGUCGGAUUGUUUGGGAAUGCAGUCCAAAAUGGGUGGUAAAUUUCAUCUAAAGCUAAAUAUUGGCGAGAGACCGAUAGCGAACAAGUACCGUGAGGGAAAGAUGAAAAGAACUUUGAAAAGAGAGUUAAACAGUACGUGAAAUUGUCAAAAGGGAAGCGUUUGACACCAGUGUUGUUUUCUCGAAAAUCAAUUAAAAAUGGCUCGAUUUUGUAUUGCUGAGACCUUAAAAGCUCACUGUACAUUUUUCGUGUCUUUUUUAAUGCACUUUUCGUUUAACAAGUCAACAUCAGUUUCUUUUGUUGUAAAAGGGUCAUUGGAAGGUGGCUUUCUUUUCGGAGAAAGUGUUUAUAGCCUUUGGCCUCUGCAAUCGGAAGAGACUGAGGUCUGCAGCGUAGACUCUUCGGGGUUAGAUACAUUUGUGCUAAGUUAUAGCUUUUUAUAGACAACUUGUUGACUAUAAUUAGUCUUGUAGCUUACUCGCUUAUGCUAUUUUACCUACGCUUAGGAUGUUGAAGAUGUAGCACAUCAU
This 775-nucleotide ribosomal RNA is filed under the name uncultured Neocallimastigales. RNAcentral describes it as "partial large subunit ribosomal RNA". It matches the Rfam family "Eukaryotic large subunit ribosomal RNA", at positions 23 to 634 of the family's 3401-position model. The record is from RNAcentral. Lineage: Eukaryota; Fungi; Neocallimastigomycota; Neocallimastigomycetes; Neocallimastigales.